RNAcentral lists this ribosomal RNA (251 nucleotides) under uncultured bacterium. RNAcentral's name for it is "partial 16S ribosomal RNA". It matches the Rfam family "Bacterial small subunit ribosomal RNA", at positions 524 to 775 of the family's 1533-position model. The record is from RNAcentral.
GACAUAGGUGGCGAACGUUAUCCGGAUUUAUUGGGCGUAAAGGAUGCGUAGAUGGUGGAAUAAGUUAUUGAUCUAAGUCGAGCUCAACUUGAUGGAAGUUGAUAAUACUGCUCUACUGGAGGACAGGAGAGGUUAACGGAAUGCACAUAAGUAGGGUGAAAUCCAUUGAUCUAUGGUAGACCACCAGAAAGGCGAAGGCAGUUAACUAUUCUGUUCCUGACAUUGAGGCAUGAAAGCGUGGGAGCAAACGG